This 253-nucleotide ribosomal RNA is filed under the name uncultured bacterium. RNAcentral describes it as "partial 16S ribosomal RNA". It matches the Rfam family "Bacterial small subunit ribosomal RNA", at positions 524 to 776 of the family's 1533-position model. The record is from RNAcentral.
UACGUAGGGACCAAGCGUUGUCCGGAAUCAUUGGGCGUAAAGCGCACGCAGGCGGCCGUGCACGUGGGGUGUGAAAGCGCUCGGCUUAACUGAGCGAUGCCACCUCAUACGGCAGGGCUCGAGCCCGUGAGAGGUCCACGGAAUUGCCGGUGUAGUGGUGAAAUACGUAGAGAUCGGCAGGAACACCCAGGGGGAAACCAGUGGACUGGCACGGUGCUGACGCUCAGGUGCGAAAGCGUGGGGAGCGAACCGG